AACGAACGCUGGCGGCAGGCCUAACACAUCCAAGUCGAGCGCCCUUUCGGGGGAGCGGCGGUCGGGUGAGUAACGCGUGGGAAUAUGCCCUUCUCUACGGAAUAGCCUCGGGAAACUGAGAGUAAUACCGUAUACGCCCUAUGGGGGAAAGAUUUAUCGGGGAAGGAUUAGCCCGCGUUGGAUUAGGUAGUUGGUGGGGUAAUGGCCUACCAAGCCGACGAUCCAUAGCUGGUUUGAGAGGAUGAUCAGCCACACUGGGACUGAGACACGGCCCAGACUCCUACGGGAGGCAGCAGUGGGGAAUCUUAGACAAUGGGGGCAACCCUGAUCUAGCCAUGCCGCGUGAGUGAUGAAGGCCUUAGGGUUGUAAAGCUCUUUCAGCUGGGAAGAUAAUGACGGUACCAGCAGAAGAAGCCCGGGCUAACUCCGUG
RNAcentral lists this ribosomal RNA (431 nucleotides) under uncultured bacterium. Its description in RNAcentral is "partial 16S ribosomal RNA". It matches the Rfam family "Bacterial small subunit ribosomal RNA", at positions 29 to 507 of the family's 1533-position model. The record is from RNAcentral.